RNAcentral lists this ribosomal RNA (446 nucleotides) under uncultured bacterium. Its description in RNAcentral is "SSU rRNA". It matches the Rfam family "Bacterial small subunit ribosomal RNA", at positions 26 to 518 of the family's 1533-position model. The record is from RNAcentral.
AGAGCGAACGCUGGCGGCAGGCUUAACACAUGCAAGUCGAGCGGGCGUAGCAAUACGUCAGCGGCAGACGGGUGAGUAACACGUGGGAACGUACCUUUUGGUUCGGAACAACACAGGGAAACUUGUGCUAAUACCGAAUAAGCCCUUACGGGGAAAGAUUUAUCGCCGAAAGAUCGGCCCGCGUCUGAUUAGCUAGUUGGUGAGGUAAUGGCUCACCAAGGCGACGAUCAGUAGCUGGUCUGAGAGGAUGAUCAGCCACAUUGGGACUGAGACACGGCCCAAACUCCUACGGGAGGCAGCAGUGGGAAUAUUGGACAAUGGGGGCAACCCUGAUCCAGCCAUGCCGCGUGAGUGAUGAAGGCCCUAGGGUUGUAAAGCUCUUUGUGCGGGAAGAUAAUGACGGUACCGCAAGAAUAAGCCCCGGCUAACUUCGCGCCAGCAGCCGC